CUGGGUGUCUUGAGCGGUGGGGUCACACCCGUUCCCAUCCCGAACACGGAAGUUAAGCCCACCAGCGCCGAUGGUACUUGGGGCCAACCCGCCCCCGGAAGAGUAGGCCGAUGCCCGGA
This 119-nucleotide ribosomal RNA is filed under the name bacterium. The record is from RNAcentral.